CGAAUGACUCGGCUUACAUCGUGGAUUCUUGAACUGCUACUGCUUCUUACUGUUCUACUUGCUUGGGGAUUUUUGCUAUAUGCUGGUCGCAAAGCAUCAGAAAGCUAUCUGUAGAAAAUUUCAUUGCUAUAUCUCAAUACCAGAAUUGUGAUUAGCAAACAAGCCAACUGAAAUGCUGCGUCACAAAGCAAUACUACAAACGAAACAUUUGCUUUUAUUCAUGAGACAUUGCUCUGCCAUGACUGUGCAACCACUACAUGCACGUGCAGGCAUGUUUCGUCAUGAAGUUGCAAUUGUAGAUACUCAUGGUCAUUAUACUUACCAGCAGUUAAUCAAUGGCAGCACACAUUUAUCUUCAUCUCUCAGGGAAGUCUUUCAAUCAUCACGUUUUACAAGAAAACAUUGUAUGGGUGUGGAUUAUGAGAAACAACUAGGCAUUGCAUUUUUGUGUCCGAAUGAUGUCAGCUACACCUUGGUUCAAUGGGCAACAUGGAAAUAUGGUGGAGUUGCAAUUCCUCUAUGUGGAAUGCACCCUCUGUCUGAAUUAGAGUAUGUCAUAUUGGAUUCACUAGCAUCGGUUGUAGUAUCGUCUGGUUCUUCAGACAACUACAACAAGAUAAGCUCUAUAGCUAAUAAACUUAGAAUUUUUCAUUAUCAUCUGAAUACCAGAGAACUGCUUGCAUCAUUAGACAUUUACGAAACUGAAAAUGAGCAAACCAACCGGCUGCCAUCUGAUCAGCCAGCGCAGAUUGUGUAUACCAGUGGUACAACAGGGCGACCAAAAGGUGUUGUAGUCACACAUGGGAAUCUAGUGUCUCAGAUAACUGCACAGAUUGAAUCAUGGGGUUGGACACAGGAUGACUGCAUGCUUCAUGUGUUACCUUUGCACCAUGUCCAUGGUAUCGUCAAUGCACUGGCUUGUCCUCUGUGGUGUGGAGCAAUAUGUCACAUGCUACCUGAAUUUGAUGCUGCCAAGGUGUGGGAUCUACUGCUGCAUCGUAACUCGGCAGUAACUCAAUCGAUUAGUAUGCUGACAGCAGUCCCUACUGUCUACUUCAAACUGAUCAAAUACUAUGAACAAGCUGGUUACAACAAGAACGAAAAGGAAGACAUCAAACAGCAUCUUCAAUCUAAAAUCAGGCUUAUGAUAUCUGGAUCAGCGCCAUUGUCAACUACAACUAUGGAAAAAUGGCAUAAUAUCACUGGCCAUUGGCUCCUAGAAAGAUAUGGAAUGACUGAAGUUGGAAUGGCUCUAUCAAAUCCUCUCUAUGGCACUCGAAGUCCUGGUGCUGUGGGACGCCCGCUUCCCAGUGUUUCUGUUCGCAUUUGUGAUAGUGAGAGUGAGACAUUACUGGCUGAAGGUGAUUCAAGAGGAACAGUGGUUUAUAGUGACAAUGUGUCUGUUGGUGGUUUAUUGCAGAUCAAAGGUCCUUCAGUGUUUCCUCAGUAUUGGAAUAGACCAGCUGCUACUGAAGAGUCUUUUACUAAAGAUGGCUGGUUUAUAACUGGAGAUACAGCUGGUAUUCUUCAUUUAUUUGUCAUCCAGAAACAACUGACUUCAUCACUUCAAUUAAAUAGUUAUAUAGUUGGUGCAUCUAAUUGAUUAUUUACUGAGUCUGCACUUUUGUAGUGUUUAUUUGCAUCUGUCAGAGAAUUAUAAACGUGGUUUUUGUACAUUUAGUUUGUAUGCAGGGUUGUCCCCAGCAUACAAAAGGCAUGGCGCUCCUGGCUUCCAUUUGGUACAGGCCCACCAUGCUUUACUGCAUGAGUAGACAGUGAUUAGCUAUGAAGAUAAUGGACUUGUAUUUGUAUUUUGAAAGUGGGAAUGGACUUGUAUUUGUAUUUUGAAAAGUGGGAAGUUGUUUGAGACUAACAAGUAGUUCCUGGGAUGCUUGGUUUGAAGAUAAGACCAAUUAGGACAAAGACUGCCAUAUAGCAUGAAUUAAUUGUAAUCUUAGGUACUCAAACAUCAACAGUGGUAGUCAGCACUGCCCCCUAUUUAGGUCAGUAUCUGACGGUAACAAACGAUUUUGUAGAUAUCUGGCCCUUCCUAUACUACUAGUAGGUUCUCGGCUUCUUGAGGUCUGGAAAUUUCCCAGUGGCUAUAAGGCUUACUAAAGCUAUCAUGUGGUCAUGCACAGUGAACUAAGACAGAGAGAAACUUUCUUUAAAAAUAAACCACUUUGUUCCUUUUGUGCCUGAGCAUUCCAUAACAACAGUUUGUGGCUUCUCAGGGGUAAGAAAACCUGCACUAAAGCUUUCCUGGAGCCCGCCACCACAAAAAUUGGAAUGGGCGUGGUUAUAGCAAUUUCCGCUGUGCCUUACAAAUAUCUUGGGGACACCCCUGCUGUGUGUUGUAGCUUUCACAAAUGGCACAUAUCACAUCAUAGGACGUACAUCUGUCGAUAUUAUUAAAAGUGGAGGCUAUAAGAUUAGUGCCUUAGAAGUUGAAAGGCACUUGCUCUGUCAUCCAGCUAUUGCAGAGAUUGCUGUGGUUGGGAUUGAUGAC
RNA transcript from Corticium candelabrum, 2509 nucleotides. It is a transcript of the gene named malonate--CoA ligase ACSF3, mitochondrial-like, with no coding region annotated. The record is from RefSeq and is a predicted model, not a curated record. The transcript has 11 exons. Lineage: Eukaryota; Metazoa; Porifera; Homoscleromorpha; Homosclerophorida; Plakinidae.